AUUGAACGCUGGCGGCAUGCUUUACACAUGCAAGUCGAGCGGCAGCGCGGGGGCAACCCUGGCGGCGAGCGGCGAACGGGUGAGGAAUACAUCGGAACGUGUCCCGUAGUGGGGAUAGCUCGGCGAAAGCCGGAUUAAUACCGCAUAUGCUCUACGGAGGGAAAGCCGGGGAUCUGUUAAAGGACCUGGCGCGUAUGGGAGCGGCCGAUGUCCGAUUAGCUAGUUGGUGAGGAAAGGCUCACCAAGGCGACGAUCGGUAGCUGGUCUGAGAGGAUGA
RNAcentral lists this ribosomal RNA (277 nucleotides) under uncultured bacterium. RNAcentral describes it as "partial 16S ribosomal RNA". It matches the Rfam family "Bacterial small subunit ribosomal RNA", at positions 30 to 303 of the family's 1533-position model. The record is from RNAcentral.